CGUGUAGGCGGCUAGGUAGGUCCGUUGUGAAAACUCGAGGCUCAACCUCGAGACGUCGAUGGAAACCAUCUAGCUAGAGUCCGGAAGAGGAGAGUGGAAUUCCUGGUGUAGCGGUGAAAUGCGCAGAUAUCAGGAAGAACACCCGUGGCGAAGGCGGCUCACUGGAUCUCUUCUGACGCUGAGGCAAGCUAGGGUAGCGAACG
RNAcentral lists this ribosomal RNA (203 nucleotides) under uncultured bacterium. RNAcentral describes it as "partial 16S ribosomal RNA". It matches the Rfam family "Bacterial small subunit ribosomal RNA", at positions 568 to 774 of the family's 1533-position model. The record is from RNAcentral.